UGUCAGCACAAUCUGCAGUUACACUAACAAAAAUGCUGCAAAAAACAAAGAAUUAUGGAAAAAUUACACAUGGACUAACAUAGAGGAGGAUCUACACAAGUUUUUUACAUCAUGUUUUACAUCAUGCAUCAUUUACAUCAUGUUUUUUUGUAGUGGCAUAAAUAAAAAGUGACAUUUGUGAGACUAUACAGUGUUUUGUAAAUAAUUUUACAAAGAACACCUGGGCCAUUGCCUGCAUUUUGAUGUCAAUAGAGGUAAAUUACUAUGUUCUUUGUUAAAAAUUUGCAUAUGUUUUGAAGUUUACAAUUUUUAUUUGAAGUUUAAGUUUUAAAAACAGUUCAUCACACAUAUUUGUGGUUUUCACAGUAAAAACGUUAAUUUUUUCCACUCGGAUUUUAUGUUUUGUGUGUGAAUUUGGGUCCAAUGUGUAAAUAUAGUAUGUCAAAAUGAUAAAAUAACUGUAAAUUGACACAGGUGAGGCUGUGCUGAAAAAAAUGAUACCAGGCAAGGCAAGGUAAAAAUUUUAAGAGGAAAUAUAAAAGGUAAAAUCUAAAGUAGUCAAAAACGGCCAAUAGUGACUCACAGACUCCACAGACAAGUCCCUUUGGCGCCACUCAGUGGGCAAAACUACUUUGUCUACUGUAAUGUAUAUUUGGGUCAUCUUUGGCGCCCCCUAAAACGUAAACCGUGGGGUGCAGCGUCAUGAUUUUUACAACUUUGAAUGGCCAUGGAGUGUAGAUUGGCCUGAGCAAAUUUGGUGUCAGUGGGACGAAGGCCUUAGGAGGAGUUAGCGAAAUUCCAAUGUGUGCGAAUUGGCAAGAAAUGCAAAAUAGCCCUUUUACCGUACAUUAUACAGAUACGCGCUCUUUGACUUUUUCGUAGAUCUAAUUGAGAUACACAUGAUUGUCAAUUUUUGUGUCAUUUUGCCAAAGCGUACAGGCGUGACAGUCAACAAUGUGUAUUUUCACCUUAGGAGACAAGAAAAAAUGGACUUUUUUCUCCUGCCAUGGGGGGGCGCUCUUUUAGGGAGUAAAAAUUCCUUCACAAAUGUGUUGAUGGCUGGACAUUGCAUCAUCCUAGAAAACUUUUGGCCAGUGAGGACAAAAAUAAAAAGUUAAAAGACUUUUAAAAAUGUGGAUUUUUGGGUUAUCUUUGGCGCCCCCUAGAACGUAAACCGUGGGGUGCAGCGUCAUGAUUUGAAUAACUUUUAAUGGCCAUGGGGUGUAAUUUGGCCUGAGCAAAUGUGGUGCCGGUGGAACGAAAGCCUUCGGAGGAGUUAGCGAAAUUCCAAUAUGUGCGAAUCGGCAAAAAAUGCGGAAUAACCCUUUAACCGUACAUUAGACAGAUACGCGCGCAUGGACUUUUUUGUAGAUCUUAUUGAGAUACAUGUGUGUGUCAAUUUUUGUGUCAUUUUGACAAAGCGUACAGGCGUGACACUCAACAAUGUGUAUUUUCACCUUAGGGGACAAGAAAAAAUGGACUUUUUUCUCCUGCCAUGGGGGGGCGCUCUUUUGGGGAGUAAAAAUUCCUUCACAAAUGUGUUGAUGGCUGGACAUUGCAUCAUCCUAGAAAACUUGGAGGCCAGUGAGGGCAAAAAUAAAAAGUUAUAAGACUUUUAAAAAUGUGGAUUUUAGGGUUAUCUUUGGCGCCCCGUAGAACCUAAACCGUAGGGUGCAGCGUCAUGAUUUGAAUAACUUUUAAUGGCCAUGGGGUGUAGAUUGGCCUGAGCAAAUGUGGUGCCGGUGGAACGAAAGCCUUCGGAGGAGUUAGCGAAAUUCCAAUGUGUGCGGAUCGGCAAAAAAUGCGCAAUAACCCUUUAACCGUACAUUUGACAGAUACGCCCGCACUGACUUUUUUGUAGAUCUUAUUGAGAUACAUGUGCGUGUCAAUUUUUGUGUAAUUUUGAAAAAGCGUACAGGCGUGACAGUCAAUAGUGUGAAUUUUCACCUUAGGGGGCGCUAUGGAGCCAUUUUGCAUUUUCUUGUUUGGGCGACUUCGGAAUAUCAAAUUUUUCACCAGGCCCGGUCGUCCUGCCAAAUUUCAUGAGUUUUCGCCAGUGGGAAGUGGGCCAUUUUCCAGUUCAAAGGGGAGGAAAAAGAAAAAAGAAACAAAGAAAAACCACUUGGGGAAUAAUAGGGCUCUCGCAGCUGCUUAGCAGCUACGCUCGGGCCCUAAGAAACAAAGAAAAACCACUUGGGGAAUAAUAGGGCUCUCGCAGCUGCUUAGCAGCUACGCUCGGGCCCUAAUAACAAAAGAAGGAAACUACAGGAACAAGAGGGCUCUCGCAGCUGCUUAGCAGCUACGCUCGGGCCCUAAUAAUAACAAAAGAAGAAUCCAUCAGGAACAAGAGGGCUCUCGCAGCUGCUUAGCAGCUACGCUCGGGCCCUAAAAAGUCUGGACCAUGAGUGAGGGCACAAACACAGCUAUGAUAUAUCGAAAUGGCAGGUUGCUCCUCCUUACGGUGUUGCCUGGAGAGCGAUGCGAUUGAGCCAUUGAGCGAUGGGCAGGGUUAACUUGACUUUUUCUCCUGCCUUGGGGGGGGGGGGGGGAUUUGGAUUCUUUUAAGAAUGUGGAUUUUUGGGUCAUCUUUGGCGCCCCCUAGAACGUAAACCGUGGGGUGCAGCGUCAUGAUUUUUACAACUUUGAAUGGCCAUGGGGUGUAGAUUGGCCUGAGCAAAUUUGGUGUCAGUGGGACGAAAGCCUUAGGAGGAGUUAGCCACAUUCCAAUGUGUGCGAAUCGGCAAAAAAUGCAAAAUAGCUCUUUAACCGUACAUUUGACAGAUACGCGCGCAUUGACUUUUUUGUAGAUAUUAUUGAGAUACAUAUGUGUGUCAAUUUUUGUGUCAAUAUGAUAAAGCGUACAGGCGUGACAGUCAAUAGUGUGAAUUUCCACCUUAGGGGACAAGAAAAAAUUGACUUUUUUCUCCUGCCAUGGGGGGGGCGCUCUUUUGGGGAGUAAAAAUUCCUUCACAAAUGUGUUGAUGGCUGGACAUUGCAUCAUCCUAGAAAACUUGGAGGCCAGUGAGGACAAAAAUAAAAAGUUAUAAGACUUUUAAAUAUGUGGAUUUUAGGGUUAUCUUUGGCGCCCCCUAGAACCUAAACCGUGGGGUGCAGCGUCAUGAUUUGUACAACUUUUAAUGGCCAUGGGGUGUAGAUUGGCCUGAGCAAAUGUGGUGCCGGUGGAACGAAAGCCUUAGGAGGAGUUAGCGAAAUUCCAAUGUGUGCGGAUCGGCAAAAAAUGCGGAAUAACCCUUUCACCGUACAUUUGACAGAUACGCGCGCAUUGACUUUUUCGUAGAUCUUAUUGAGAUACAUGUGUGUGUCAAUUUUUGUGUCAUUUUGCCAAAGCGUACAGGUGUUAAACUCAACAAUGUGUAUUUUCACCUUAGGGGACAAGAAAAAAUGGACUUUUUUCUCCUGCCAUGGGGGGGCGCUCUUUUGGGGAGUAAAAAUUCCUUCACAAAUGUGUUGAUGGCUGGACAUUGCAUCAUCCUAGAAAACUUGGAGGCCAGUGAGGGCAAAAAUAAAAAGUUAUAAGACUUUUAAAUAUGUGGAUCUUAGGGUUAUCUUUGGCGCCCCCUAGAACCUAAACCCUGGGGUGCAGCGUCAUGAUUUGAAUAACUUUUAAUGGCCAUGGGGUGUAGAUUGGCCUGAGCAAAUGUGGUGCCGGUGGAAUGAAAGCCUUCGGAGGAGUUAGCGAAAUUCCAAUGUGUGCGGAUCGGCAAAAAAUGCGAAAUAACCCUUUAACCGUACAUUUGACAGAUACGCCCGCACUGACUUUUUUGUAGAUCUUAUUGAGAUACAUGUGUGUGUCAAUUUUUGUGUCAUUUUGACAAAGCGUACAGGCGUGACAGUCAAUAGUGUGAAUUUUCACCUUAGGGGGCGCUAUGGAGCCAUUUUGCAUGUUCUUGUUUGGGCGACUUCGGAAUAUCAAAUUUUUCACCAGGCCCGGUCGUCCUGCCAAAUUUCAUGAGUUUUCGCCAGUGGGAAGUGGGCCAUUUUCCAGUUCAAAGGGGAGGAAAAAUAAUAACUAGGGCCCCGGUGGGGCACUGUCGGGCCCGAGCCGCGUCGCGCCGCCCCCAGCGCGACCACCUCCCCCUCCCGAUCGCGUCACACUCAAGGUCCAAAGAUGGUGUGCGCACUUGUCUGUGGUCAUUUCCCAUUAUAAUGAAUGGGAGGCGCAGUUUCUACCAAAACACUCGCUGCAGACAAACUACAUAUCCUAUUUGAAAAAAGUCUGGACCAUGAGUGAGGGCACAAACACAGCUAGGAUAUAUCCAAACGGCAAGUUGCUCCUCGUUACGGUGUUGCCGGGAGAGCGAUGCGAUUGAGCCAUUGAGUGAUGGGCAGGAAAAACUUGACUGUUUCUCCUGCCAUGGGGGAUGGGGGAUGGGGGAUGGGGGGGGGGGGAGAUGUGGAUUCUUUUAAGAAUGUGGAUAUUUGGGUCAUCUUUGGCGCCCCCUAGAACGUAAACCCUGGGGUGCACCGUCAUGAUUUUUACAACUUUUAAUGGCCAUGGGGUGUAGAUUGGCCUGAGCAAAUUUGGUGUCAGUGGGAUGAAAGCCUUAGGAGGAGUUAGCCACAUUCCAAUGUGUGCGAAUCGGCAAAAAAUGCAAAAUAGCCCUUUAACCGUACAUUUGACAGAUACGCGUGCAUUGACUUUUUCGUAGAUGUUAUUGAGACACACGUGAUUGUCAAAUUUUGUGUCAAUAUGACAAAGCGUACAGGCGUGACACUCAACAAUGUGUAUUUUCACCUUAGGGGACAAGAAAAAAUGGACUUUUUUCUCCUGCCAUGGGGGGGCGCUCUUUUGGGGAGUAAAAAUUCCUUCACAAAUGUGUUGAUGGCUGGACAUUGCAUCAUCCUAGAGAACUUGGAGGCCAGUGAGGACAAAAAUAAAAAGUUAUAAGACUUUUAAAUAUGUGGAUUUAGGGUUAUAUUUGGCGCCCCCUAGAACCUAAACCGUGGGGUGCAGCAUCAUGAUUUGAAUAACUUUCAAUGGCCAUGGGGUGUAGAUUGGCCUGAGCAAAUGUGGUGCCGGUGGAACGAAAGCCUUAGGAGGAGUUAGCGAAAUUCCAAUGUGUGCGCAUCGGCAAAAAAUGCGAAAUAACCCUUUAACCGUACAUUUGACAGAUACGCGGCAUUGACUUUUUCGUAGAUCUUAUUGAGAUACAUGUGUGUGUCAAUUUUUGUGUCAAUAUGACAAAGCGUACAGGCCUGACAGUCAAUAGUGUGAAUUUUCACCUUAGGGGACAAGAAAAAAUGGACUUUUUUCUUCUGCCAUGGGGGGGCGCUCUUUUGGGGAGUAAAAAUUCCUUCACAAAUGUGUUGAUGGCUGGACAUUGCAUCAUCCUAGAAAACUUGGAGGCCAGUGAGGACAAAAAUAAAAAGUUAUAAGACUUUUAAAUAUGUGGAUUUUAGUGUUAUCUUUGGCGCCCCCUAGAACCUAAACCUUGGGGUGCAGCGUCAUGAUUUUGAUAACUUUUAAUGGCCACGGGGUGUAGAUUGGCCUGAGCAAAUGUGGUGCCGGUGGAACGAAAGCCUUAGGAGGAGUUAGCCACAAUCCAAUGUGUGCGGAUCGGCAAAAAAUGCGGAAUAACCCUUUAACCGUACAUUUGACAGAUACGCGCGCAUUGACUUUUUCGUAGAUCUUAUUGAGUUACAUGUGUGUGUCAAUUUUUGUGUCAUUUUGACAAAGCGUAUAGGCGUGACACUCAACAAUGUGUAUUUUCACCUUAGGGGACAAGAAAAAAUGGACUUUUUUCUUCUGCCAUGGGGGGGCGCUCUUUUGGGGAGUAAAAAUUCCUUCACAAAUGUGUUGAUGGCUGGACAUUGCAUCAUCCUAGAAAACUUGGAGGCCAGUGAGGACAAAAAUAAAAAGUUAUAAGACUUUUAAAUAUGUGGAUUUUAGUGUUAUCUUUGGCGCCCCCUAGAACCUAAACCUUGGGGUGCAGCGUCAUGAUUUUGAUAACUUUUAAUGGCCACGGGGUGUAGAUUGGCCUGAGCAAAUGUGGUGCCGGUGGAACGAAAGCCUUCGGAGGAGUUAGCGAAAUUCCAAUGUGUGCGGAUCGGCAAAAAAUGCGAAAUAACCCUUUAACCGUAAUUUUGACAGAUACGGCCGCACUGACUUUUUUGUAGAUCUUAUUAAGAUACAUAUGUGUGUCAAUUUUUGUGUCAAUAUGACAAAGCGUACAGGCGUGACAGUCAAUAGUGUGAAUUUCCACCUUAGGGGGCGCUAUGGAGCCAUUUUGCAUUUUAUUGUUUGGGCGACUUCAGAAUAUCGAAUUUUUCACCAGGCCCGGUCGUCCUGCCAAAUUUCAUGAGUUUUCGCCAGUGGGAAGUGGGCCAUUUUCCAGUUCAAAGGGGAGGAAAAAGAAGAAAGAAAGAAAGAACUAGGGCCCCGGUGGGGCACUGUCGGGCCCGAGCCGCGUCGUGCCGCCCCCAGCGUGACCGCCUCCCCCUCCCGAUCGCGUCACACUCAAGGUCCAAAGAUGGUGUGCGCACUUGUCUGUGGUCAUUUCGCAUUAUAAUGAAUGGGAGGCGCAGUUUCUACCAAAACACUCGCUGCAGACAAACUUCAUGUCCUAUUUGAAAAAAGUCUGGACCAUGAGUGAGGGCACAAACACAGCUGGGAUAUAUCCAAAUGGCAGGUUGCUCCUCGUUACGGUGUUGCCUGGAGAGCGAUGCGAUUGAGCCAUUGAGCGAUGGGCAGGAAAAACUUGACUUUUUCUCCUACCAUGGGGGGGGAGAAUGUGGAUUCUUUUAAGAAUGUGGAUUUUUUGGUCAUCUUUGGCGCCCCCUAGAACGUAAACCGUGGGGUGCAGCGUCAUGAUUUUUACAACUUUGAAUGGCCAUGGGGUGUAGAUUGGCCUGAGCAAAUUUGGUUUCAGUGGGACGAAAGCCUUAGGAGGAGUUAGCCACAUUCCAAUGUGUGCGAAUCUGCAAAAAAUGCAAAAUAGCCCUCUAACCGUACAUUUGACAGAUACGCACCCAUUGACUUUUUCGUAGAUCUUAUUGAGAUACACGUGAUUGUCAAAUUUUGUGUCAAUAUGACAAAGCGUACAGGUGUCACACUCAACAAUGUGAAUUUUCACCUUACGGGACAAGAAAAAAUUGACUUUUUUCUCCUGCCAUGGGGGGGCGCUCUUUUGGGGAGUAAAAAUUCCUUCACAAAUGUGUUGAUGGCUGGACAUUGCAUCAUCCUAGAAAACUUGGAGGGCAGUGAGGACAAAAAUAAAAAGUUAUAAGACUUUGAAAUAUGUGGAUUUUAGGGUUAUCUUUGGCGCCCCCUAGAACCUAAACCGUGGGGUGCAGCGUCAUGAUUUGAAUAACUUUUAAUGGCCAUGGGGUGUAGAUUGGCCUGAGCAAAUGUGGUGCCGGUGGAACGCCAGCCUUAGGAGGAGUUAGCGAAAUUCCAAUGUGUGCGGAUCAGCAAAAAAUGCGGAAUAACCCUUUAACCGUACAUUUGACAGAUAUGCGCGCAUUGACUUUUUCGUAGAUCUUAUUGAGAUACAUGUGUGUGUCAAAUUUUGUGUCAAUAUGACAAAGCGUAAAGGCGUGACACUCAACAAUGUGUAUUUUCACCUUAGGGGACAAGAAAAAAUUGACUUUUUUCUCCGGCCAUGGGGGGGCGCUCUUUUGGGGAGUAAAAAUUCCUUCACAAAUGUGUUGAUGGCUGGACAUUGCAUCAUCCUAGAAAACUUGGAGGCCAGUGAGGGCAAAAAUAAAAAGUUAUAAGACUUUUAAAUAUGUGGAUUUUAGGGUUAUCUUUGGCGCCCCCUAGAACCUAAACCGUGGGGUGCAGCGUCAUGAUUUGAAUAACUUUUAAUGGCCAUGGGGUGUAGAUUGGCCUGAGCAAAUGUGGUGCCGGUGGAAAGAAAGCCUUCGGAGGAGUUAGCGAAAUUCCAAUGUGUGCGGAUCGGCAAAAAAUGCGGAAUAACCCUUUAACCGUACAUUUGACAGAUACGCCCGCACUGACUUUUUUGUAGAUCUUAUUGAGAUACAUAUGUGUGUCAAUUUUUGUGUCAUUUUGACAAAGCGUACAGGCGUGACAGUCAAUAGUGUGAAUUUUCACCUUAGGGGGCGCUAUGGAGCCAUUUUGCAUUUUCUUGUUUGGGCGACUUCGGAAUAUCAAAUUUUUCACCAGGCCCGGUCAUCCUGCCAAAUUUCAUGAGUUUUCGCCAGUGGGAAGUGGGCCAUUUUCCAGUUCAAAGGGGAGGAAAAAGAAGAAAGAAAGAAACAAAGAAAAACCACUUGGGGAAUAAUAGGGCUCUCGCAGCUGCUUAGCAGCUACGCUCGGGCCCUAACUAGGACCCCGUUGGGGCACUGGCGGGCCCGAGCCUUGUCGGAUGGAGCUUUGGAUGGAGCUUCAUGGUUGUCUUUUGGAGAAAUGACCAGUCAAGUUGUGUUUGAAAUUUGAUUUUUUUUUCAGGGGCAAAAGGAGCCUCUGCAUUCUUGUCAAAUAUGUAAAUAGCAUGUUUUUGCAGGUGCUAAAAACCAGACUCUGAGUGUGUGUGUGUGUGUGUGUGUGUGUGUGUGUGUGUGUGUGUGUGUGUGUGUGUGUGUCUGUGUGUGCGUUCAAGUCACAUGACAUAUUUAACCGGAUGUAGCUGCAAGACGGAGCCUCGUUGACUCUCCGUUUCAACUUAUCUCAAAAGUGAGGACCUCAACCUAUAUACCAGUUUUUAAAUUGUGUUGAUAGGCCAAAUAAAACCAGAGUUAUGAUAAAUUAUGUCCGCGAUACUUUUUUUCUGCUUAUUUUGAUCACGUUCGGCGCUCGAUCGCGCUGUAUGAGACAGGAAAACAUAGCAUGCAGACAUUAGCGACAGGUCUUACAGGCGGAAAAGGCUUGCCAAAAAAAAAAAAAACACACCACAACAUCUCUCCUAUUGGUGGAAAACUUCACCACAACAACCAAUCCAAAAUUAUAUGGUGACUGAUUGACAAGGGGAGGGCGCUUACGUUCUUCCUGCAAUAUGAGAAGGGAGGGAGGGACUCUCAGCAGGGAUGCAGUCUGGGACACGUAGUUGCAAACCUAGCGACUUUGUUGUUAGAUUCAAUGACUUUUCAGACCCCCUAACGACUUUUUUUAGAAAGAAAGGGACUUUUAUCGACUUCUUCUGGAGUUUAGAGACUCUGACAUGAAGCAGGCUUUCCUUACUGAGGAGUUAGCAACGCUGCUAAGGGUGCAGAGCCACACAUGCGCUCAGAGCUCUGCAUGGGAGACUGAAGCUGACAGAGCUGCAGCAGUUAGCAGGUUUCACCCUCAGAGACCACCAGGGGUUCAUGUUGAGGCAUUUUAAUUUUUUUUUUUUUUUGUGCCAUAGACACUGUCAGCACAAUCUGCAGUUACACUAACAAAAAUGCUGCAAAAAACAAAGAAUUAUGGAAAAAUUACACAUGGACUGACAUAGAGGAGGAUCUACACAAGUUUUUUACAUCAUGUUUUACAUCAUGCAUCAUUUACAUCAUGUUUUUUUGUAGUGGCAUAAAUAAAAAGUGACAUUUGUGAGACUAUACAGUGUUUUGUAAAUAAUUUUGCAAAGAACGCCUGGGCCAUUGCCUGCAUUUUGAUGUAAAUAGAGGUAAAUUACUAUGUUCUUUGUUAAAAAUUUGCAUAUGUUUUGAAGUUUACAAUUUUUAUUUGAAGUUUAAGUUUUAAAAACAGUUCAUCACACAUAUUUGUGGUUUAAUUUCACAUUAAUUUCCAUAUUGUAUAAAUGACUGGAAAAAACUUGAGCCCCUGCCCCUGUAUAAUCAUGUGCACGUCCCUGUUCUAGCUCCAAGGUGAAUCUUCACUGCUCAUGUUCUCCUCAGAAAUAGUCACCUCACUCCCCUCAGGUUACUGUACACAUGCACCAACUAUCUGCUUCAGGUUUGAAAUGGAGCUUCAUGGUUGUCUUUUGGAGAAAUGAACAGUCAAGUUGUGUUUGAAAUUUGAUUUUUUUCAGGGGCAAAAGGAAGCCUCUGCAUUCUUGUCAAAUAUGUAAACAGCAUGUUUUUGCAGGUGCUAAAAAACAGACUCUGAGUGUGUGUGUGUGUCUGUGUGUGUGUGUGUCUGUGUGUGUGUGUAUGUUGGUGUGUGUGUAUAUGUGUGUGUAUCCUGCAGUACUCUGUACUCCUGCAGUGGCCAAAAAAACCUUUUAAGAAUGUGGAUUUUUGGGUCAUCUUUGGCGCCCCCUAGAACUGCAGUACUCUGUACUCCUGCAGUGGCCAAAAUGACUUUUAAGAAUGUGGAUUUUUGGGUCAUCUUUGGCGCCCCCUAGAACGUAAACCGUGGGGUGCAGCGUCAUGAUUUUUACAACUUUGAAUGGGCAUGGGGUGUAGAUUGCCCUGAGCAAAUUUGGUAUCGGUGGGACGAAAGCCUUAGGAGGAGAUAGCCACAUUCCAAUGUGUGCGAAUCGGCAAAAAAUGCAAAAUAGCCCUUUAACCGUACAUUAUAAAGAUACGCGCUCUUUGACUUUUUCGUAGAUCUAAUUGAGAUACACAUGAUUGUCAAUUUUUGUGUCAAUAUGACAAAGCGUUCAGGCGUGACACUCAACAAUGUGUAUUUUCAUGUAAGGGGACAAGAAAAAAUGGACUUUUUUCUCCUACCAUGGGGGGCGCUCUUUUGGGGAGUAAAAAUUCCUUCACAAAUGUGUUGAUGGCUGGACAUUGCAUCAUCCUAGAGAACUUGGAGGCCAGUGAGGACAAAAAUAAAAAGUUAUAAAACAUUUAAGAAUGUGGAUUUUUGGGUUAUUUUUGGCGCCCCCUAGAACCUAAACCAUGGGGUGCAGCAUCAUGAUUUGAAUAACUUUUAAUGGCCAUGGGGUGUAGAUUGGCCUGAGCAAAUGUGGUGCCGGUGGAACGAAAGCCUUCGGAGGAGUUAGCGAAAUUCCAAUGUGUGCGUAUCGGCAAAAAAUGCGGAAUAACCCUUUAACUGUACAUUUGACAGAUACGCGCGCAUGGACUUUUUUGUAGAUCUUAUUGAGUUACAUGUGUGUGUUAAUUUUUGUGUCAUUUUGACAAAGCGUAUAGGCGUGACACUCAAGAAUGUGUAUUUUCACCUUAGGGGACAAGAAAAAAUGGACUUUUUUCUCCUGCCAUGGGGGGGCGCUCUUUUGGGGAGUAAAAAUUCCUUCACAAAUGUGUUGAUGGCUGGACAUUGCAUCAUCCUAGAAAACUUGGAGGCCAGUGAGGACAAAAAUAAAAAGUUAUAAGACUUUUAAAUAUGUGGAUUUUAGUGUUAUCUUUGGCGCCCCCUAGAACCUAAACCUUGGGGUGCAGCGUCAUGAUUUUGAUAACUUUUAAUGGCCACGGGGUGUAGAUUGGCCUGAGCAAAUGUGGUGCCGGUGGAACGAAAGCCUUCGGAGGAGUUAGCGAAAUUCCAAUGUGUGCGGAUCGGCAAAAAAUGCGAAAUAACCCUUUGACCGUACAUUUGACAGAUACGGCCGCACUAACUUUUUUGUAGAUCUUAUUGAGAUACAUAUGUGUGUCAAUUUUUGUGUCAAUAUGACAAAGCGUACAGGCGUGACAGUCAAUAGUGUGAAUUUCCACCUUAGGGGGCGCUAUGGAGCCAUUUUGCAUUUUAUUGUUUGGGCGACUUCAGAAUAUCGAAUUUUUCACCAGGCCCGGUCGUCCUGCCAAAUUUCAUGAGUUUUCGCCAGUGGGAAGUGGGCCAUUUUCCAGUUCAAAGGGGAGGAAAAAGAAGAAAGAAAGAAAGAAAGAAAGAAAGAAAGAAACAAAGAAAAACCACUUGGGGAAUAAUAGGGCCUACGCCCGGCUGCUCUGCAGCUGGCUCGGGCCCUAAAGAAAGAAAGAAACAAAGAAAAACCACUUGGGGAAUAAUAGGGCCUACGCCCGGCUGCUCUGCAGCUGGCUCGGGCCCUAAUAACUAGGACCCCGUUGGGGCACUGGCGGGCCCGAGCUGUGUCGCGUCCCCCCCCCCCAACGCGCUGCCUCCCCGUCCCAUUUGUGUCCUCUGGCCAUCGCCCUCUCUGGUAACGCCCAUCACUGCAAAGACCCUUUUCCUUCAUCGGCGUUUGCUGUUCUUCCUGCCAGUGCGUGUUGCUUUCACUUACACUUGCCACAGCCAGCCUCGUGAGUGCCUAGCCUAUUGGAUAUCACUGUCACCUACACAGGACAGUCAUUACCUUUCUAUUAAUACUUUGUUUUUUAAUUUCACAUUAAUUUCCAUAUUGUAUAAACAACUGGAAAAAACUUGAGCCCCUGCCCCUGUAUAAUCAUGUGCACGUCUCUGUUCUAGCUCUAAGGUGAAUCUUCACUGCUCAUGUUCUCCUCAGAAGCAGUCACCUCACUCCCCUCAGGUUACUGUACACAUGCACCAACUGCCUGCUUCAGGUUUGGAUGGAGCUUCAUGGUUGUCUUUUGGAGAAAAGACCAGUCAAGUUGUGUUUGAAAUAUGAUUUUUUUCAGGGGCAAAAGGAGCCUCUGCAUUCUUGUCAAAUAUGUAAAUAGCAUGUUUUUGCAGGUGCUAAAAACCAGACUCUGAGUGUGUGUGUGUGUGUGUGUGUCUGUGUGUGUGUGUGUGUGUGUGUGUGUGCGUGCGUGCGUGUGUAUGUGUGCGUUCAAGUCACAUGACAUAUUUAACCGGAUGUAGCUGCAAGACGGAGCCUCGUUGACUCUCCGUUUCAAUUUAUCUCAAAAGUGAGGACCUCAACCUAUAUACCAGUUUUUAAAUUGUGUUGAUAGGCCAAAUAAAACCAGAGUUAUGAUAAAUUAUGUCCACGAUACUUGUUUUCUGCUUAUUUUGAUCACGUUCGGCGCUCGAUCGCGCUGUAUGAGACAGGAAAACAUAGCAUGCAGACAUUAGCGACAGGUCUUACAGGCGGAAAAGGCUUGCCAAAGGAAAAAAAAAACACACCACAACAUCUCUCCUAUUGGUGGAAAACUUCACCACAACAACCAAUCCAAUGAUAAAAUAACUGUAAAUUCGCACAGGUGAGGUUGUGCUGAAAAAAAUGAUACCA
Molecule: long non-coding RNA, 12968 nt
Filed under: Xyrichtys novacula (pearly razorfish)
Lineage: Eukaryota; Metazoa; Chordata; Actinopteri; Labriformes; Labridae
Source: RNAcentral